AACGAACGCUGGCGGCAUGCCUAACACAUGCAAGUCGAACGAGACCUUCGGGUCUAGUGGCGCACGGGUGCGUAACGCGUGGGAACCUGCCCUUAGGUUCGGAAUAACUCCCCGACAGGGGUGCUAAUACCGGAUAAUGUCUUCGGACCAAAGAUUUAUCGCCUUUGGAUGGGCCCGCGUUGGAUUAGCUAGUUGGUAGGGUAAAAGCCUACCAAGGCGACGAUCCAUAGCUGGUCUGAGAGGAUGAUCAGCCACACUGGGACUGAGACACGGCCCAGACUCCUACGGGAGGCAGCAGUGGGGAAUAUUGGACAAUGGGCGAAAGACUGAUCCAGCAAUGCCGCGUGAGUGAUGAAGGCCUUAGGGUUGUAAAGCUCUUUUACCCGGGAUGAUAAUGACAGUACCGGGAGAAUAAGCUCCGGCUAACUCCGUG
This 433-nucleotide ribosomal RNA is filed under the name uncultured bacterium. Its description in RNAcentral is "partial 16S ribosomal RNA". It matches the Rfam family "Bacterial small subunit ribosomal RNA", at positions 29 to 507 of the family's 1533-position model. The record is from RNAcentral.